This 164-nucleotide ribosomal RNA is filed under the name uncultured bacterium. RNAcentral describes it as "partial 16S ribosomal RNA". It matches the Rfam family "Bacterial small subunit ribosomal RNA", at positions 355 to 511 of the family's 1533-position model. The record is from RNAcentral.
UAGGGAAUCCUCCACAAUGGGCGCAAGCCUGAUGGAGCAACACCGCGUGAGUGAAGAAGGGUUUCGGCUCGUAAAGCUCUGUUGUUAAAGAAGAACACGUAUGAGAGUAACUGUUCAUACGUUGACGGUAUUUAACCAGAAAGUCACGGCUAACUACGUACCAG